GCCUGGGUGGCUCAGUUGGUUAAGUGUCUGACUUCGGCUCAGGAUCAUGAUCUCACGGUUUGUGGGUUCGAGCCCCGUGUCGGGCU
Molecule: transfer RNA, 86 nt
Filed under: Felis catus (domestic cat)
Lineage: Eukaryota; Metazoa; Chordata; Mammalia; Carnivora; Felidae
Also listed under: 3 other names
Rfam family: tRNA
About the family: Transfer RNA (tRNA) molecules are approximately 80 nucleotides in length. Their secondary structure includes four short double-helical elements and three loops (D, anti-codon, and T loops). Further hydrogen bonds mediate the characteristic L-shaped molecular structure. tRNAs have two regions of fundamental functional importance: the anti-codon, which is responsible for specific mRNA codon recognition, and the 3' end, to which the tRNAs corresponding amino acid is attached (by aminoacyl-tRNA synthetases). tRNAs cope with the degeneracy of the genetic code in two manners: having more than one tRNA (with a specific anti-codon) for a particular amino acid; and 'wobble' base-pairing, i.e. permitting non-standard base-pairing at the 3rd anti-codon position.
Source: Rfam by way of RNAcentral